UACGUAGGGUGCAAGCGUUAAUCGGAAUUACUGGGCGUAAAGCGUGCGCAGGCGGUUCGCUAAGACCGAUGUGAAAUCCCCGGGCUUAACCUGGGAACUGCAUUGGUGACUGGCGGGCUAGAGUAUGGCAGAGGGGGGUAGAAUUCCACGUGUAGCAGUGAAAUGCGUAGAGAUGUGGAGGAAUACCGAUGGCGAAGGCAGCCCCCUGGGCCAAUACUGACGCUCAUGCACGAAAGCCAGGGGAGCAAACGGG
This 253-nucleotide ribosomal RNA is filed under the name uncultured bacterium. Its description in RNAcentral is "partial 16S ribosomal RNA". It matches the Rfam family "Bacterial small subunit ribosomal RNA", at positions 524 to 776 of the family's 1533-position model. The record is from RNAcentral.